Molecule: ribosomal RNA, 254 nt
Filed under: uncultured bacterium
Lineage: Bacteria
Description: partial 16S ribosomal RNA
Rfam family: Bacterial small subunit ribosomal RNA
Source: RNAcentral
UACGGAGGGAGCUAGCGUUGUUCGGAAUUACUGGGCGUAAAGCGCACGUAGGCGGCUUUGUAAGUUAGAGGUGAAAGCCCGGGGCUCAACUCCGGAAUUGCCUUUAAGACUGCAUCGCUAGAAUUGUGGAGAGGUAAGUGGAAUUCCGAGUGUAGAGGUGAAAUUCGUAGAUAUUCGGAAGAACACCAGUGGCGAAGGCGACUUACUGGACACAUAUUGACGCUGAGGUGCGAAAGCGUGGGGAGCAAAGCAGG